GAUGAACGCUGGCGGCGUGCCUAAUACAUGCAAGUCGAGCGAAAAGACGAGGAGCUUGCUCCUCUGACGUUAGCGGCGGACGGGUGAGUAACAUGUGGAUAACCUACCUAUAAGACUGGGAUAACUUCGGGAAACCGGAGCUUAUACCGGAUAAUAUCUUGAACCGCAUGGUUCGAUAGUGAAAGACGGUUUUGCUGUCACUUAUCGAUGGAUCCGCGCCGCAUUAGCUAGUUGGUAAGGUAACGGCUUACCAAGGCGACGAUGCGUAGCCGACCUGAGAGGGUGAUCGGCCACACUGGAACUGAGACACGGUCCAGACUCCUACGGGAGGCAGCAGUAGGGAAUCUUCGGCAAUGGGCGAAAGCCUGACGGAGCAACGCCGCGUGAGUGAUGAAGGUCUUCGGAUCGUAAAGCUCUGUUAUUAGGGAAGAACAAAUGUGGAAUUAAAUAUGCACGUCUUGACGGUACCUGAUCAAAAAGCCACGGCUAACUACGUG
Molecule: ribosomal RNA, 497 nt
Filed under: uncultured bacterium
Lineage: Bacteria
Description: partial 16S ribosomal RNA
Rfam family: Bacterial small subunit ribosomal RNA
Source: RNAcentral